Molecule: ribosomal RNA, 237 nt
Filed under: uncultured bacterium
Lineage: Bacteria
Description: partial 16S ribosomal RNA
Rfam family: Bacterial small subunit ribosomal RNA
Source: RNAcentral
CGGGACGGGUGAGUAACGCGUGGGUAACCGUGCCUCACACAGGGGGAUAGCAGUUGGAAACGACUGGUAAUACCGCAUAAGCGCACAGCUUCGCAUGAAGCGGUGUGAAAAACUCCGGUGGUGUGAGAUGGACCCGCGUUGGAUUAGCUAGUUGGUGAGGUAACGGCCCACCAAGGCGACGAUCCAUAGCCGACCUGAGAGGGUGACCGGCCACAUUGGGACUGAGACACGGCCCAA